UACGAGGGGGGCGAGCGUUGUUCGGAAUUAUUGGGCGUAAAGGGUGCGUAGGCGGUUUGGUAAGUCUUAUGUGAAAUCUACAGGCUCAACUUGUAGUCUGCAUGAGAAACUGCCGGGCUUGAGUAUGGGAGGGGUGAGUGGAAUUCCUGGUGUAGCGGUGAAAUGCGUAGAUAUCAGGAGGAACACCUGUGGCGAAAGCGGCUCACUGGACCAUAACUGACGCUGAUGCACGAAAGCUAGGGGAGCAAACAGG
RNAcentral lists this ribosomal RNA (253 nucleotides) under uncultured bacterium. RNAcentral describes it as "partial 16S ribosomal RNA". It matches the Rfam family "Bacterial small subunit ribosomal RNA", at positions 524 to 776 of the family's 1533-position model. The record is from RNAcentral.